CGAUGAUACGCGAGGAACCUUACCCGGGCUUGAAAUGCAUCUGACCGGCCUUGAAAGAGGCACUCCCUUCGGGGCAGAUGUGUAGGUGCUGCAUGGUUGUCGUCAGCUCGUGCCGUGAGGUGUCGGCUUAAGUGCCAUAACGAGCGCAACCCUCAUCAUUAGUUACCAUCAGGUAAGGCUGGGGACUCUAAUGAGACUGCCAUCGUAAGAUGUGAGGAAGGUGGGGAUGACGUCAAAUCAGCACGGCCCUUACGUCCGGGGCGACACACGUGUUACAAUGGGUGGUACAAAGGGCAGCUACCUGGCGACAGGAUGCUAAUCUCGAAAACCGCUCUCAGUUCGGAUCGGAGUCUGCAACUCGACUCCGUGAAGCUGGAUUCGCUAGUAAUCGCGCAUCAGCCACGGCGCGGUGAAUACGUUCCCGGGCCUU
This 430-nucleotide ribosomal RNA is filed under the name uncultured Proteiniphilum sp. RNAcentral describes it as "bacterial SSU rRNA". It matches the Rfam family "Bacterial small subunit ribosomal RNA", at positions 952 to 1382 of the family's 1533-position model. Lineage: Bacteria; Pseudomonadati; Bacteroidota; Bacteroidia; Bacteroidales; Dysgonomonadaceae. The record is from RNAcentral.